CGGCCUUGGACGAGCGGCGGACGGGUGAGUAAUGCAUAGGAAACUGCCCAGUAGUGGGGGAUAGCCCGGGGAAACCCGGAUUAAUACCGCGUACGCCCUUCGGGGGAAAGCAGGGGAUCUUCGGACCUUGCGCUAUUGGAUGUGCCUAUGUCGGAUUAGCUAGUUGGUGGGGUAAAGGCCUACCAAGGCGACGAUCCGUAGCUGGUCUGAGAGGAUGAUCAGCCACAUCGGGACUGAGACACGGCCCGAACUCCUACGGGAGGCAGCAGUGGGGAAUAUUGGACAAUGGGGGCAACCCUGAUCCAGCCAUGCCGCGUGUGUGAAGAAGGCUUUCGGGUUGUAAAGCACUUUCAGUGAGGAGGAAAACUCUGCGACUAAUACUCGUAGGGCUUGACGUUACUCACAGAAGAAGCACCGGCUAACUCCGUGCCAGCAGCCGCGGUAAUACGGAGGGUGCAAGCGUUAAUCGGAAUUACUGGGCGUAAAGCGCGCGUAGGUGGUUUGAUAAGCGAGAUGUGAAAGCCCCGGGCUUAACCUGGGAACGGCAUUUCGAACUGUCAGGCUAGAGUAUGGUAGAGGAGUGUGGAAUUUCCUGUGUAGCGGUGAAA
RNAcentral lists this ribosomal RNA (608 nucleotides) under Marinobacter flavimaris. RNAcentral's name for it is "bacterial SSU rRNA". It matches the Rfam family "Bacterial small subunit ribosomal RNA", at positions 82 to 686 of the family's 1533-position model. The record is from RNAcentral. Lineage: Bacteria; Pseudomonadati; Pseudomonadota; Gammaproteobacteria; Pseudomonadales; Marinobacteraceae.